UGGGGAAUAUUGCACAAUGGGCGAAAGCCUGAUGCAGCAACGCCGCGUGAGCGAUGAAGGCCUUCGGGUCGUAAAGCUCUGUCCUCAAGGAAGAUAAUGACGGUACUUGAGGAGGAAGCCCCGGCUAACUACGUGCCAGCAGCCGCGGUAAUACGUAGGGGGCAAGCGUUAUCCGGAAUUAUUGGGCGUAAAGAGUGCGUAGGUGGUUACCUAAGCAGGGGGUGAAAGGCAAUGGCUCAACCAUUGUUAGCCCCCUGAACUGGGCUACUUGAGUGCAGGAGAGGAAAGCGGAAUUCCUAGUGUAGCGGUGAAAUGCGUAGAUAUUAGGAGGAACACCAGUGGCGAAGGCGGCUUUCUGG
This 359-nucleotide ribosomal RNA is filed under the name uncultured Anaerovoracaceae bacterium. RNAcentral's name for it is "bacterial SSU rRNA". It matches the Rfam family "Bacterial small subunit ribosomal RNA", at positions 355 to 732 of the family's 1533-position model. The record is from RNAcentral. Lineage: Bacteria; Bacillati; Bacillota; Clostridia; Peptostreptococcales; Anaerovoracaceae.